CCUACGGGUGGCUGCAGUGGGGAAUUUUGGACAAUGGGGGCAACCCUGAUCCAGCCAUGCCGCGUGCGGGAAGAAGGCCUUCGGGUUGUAAACCGCUUUUGUCAGGAGAGAAAUCUCUUGGGCUAAUACCCUGAGAGGAUGACGGUACCUGAAGAAUAAGCACCGGCUAACUACGUGCCAGCAGCCGCGGUAAUACGUAGGGUGCAAGCGGUGCUCGGAAUGACUGGAGGCGGUUCGUGCAGAGGCGGUUGAAAUCCCCGGGCUUAACCUGGGAACUGCACUUGUGACUGCACGGCUAGAGUACGGCAGAGGGGGAUGGAAUUCCGCGUGUAGCAGUGAAAUGCGUAGAUAUGCGGAGGAACACCGAUGGCGAAGGCAGUCCCCUGGGCCUGUACUGACGCUCAUGCACGAAAGCGUGGGGAGCAAACAGGAUUAGAUACCCCAGUAGUC
Molecule: ribosomal RNA, 450 nt
Filed under: uncultured bacterium
Lineage: Bacteria
Description: partial 16S ribosomal RNA
Rfam family: Bacterial small subunit ribosomal RNA
Source: RNAcentral